GCUGCCAAGAUUCUUAGGAGAGUUCACCUCAUUUCUUCCUACCAGAUGGCCCUUCCUGCUAGGUCAGGCUGCCUCCGGACUCCCCAACUCCAGCCAAAAGUGAACCUCUUUUCCUGCCAUUUUAACCUCUUCCCUACUAGUCUUAUUCCCCAUCAUCACCUUUAAUUUCACAUCUAGAGCCUAACUGCAAAUUGGAGAAGAUCAGAGACAAAGGAGCCCCGCCUGAAGAUGAAAAAAGAUUCAUCCUUCUUCUUCUGUUAUUCCCCUCAGUGCCCAGUAUGAUCUGCUCAAAGGAAGUGCUCAAUGAAUACUGUUCUAUUUGUUGUUGAUGAUGAUGAUGAUGAUUAUGAUACUGAUGAUCAUCCACUGCAACAGCACCAUCAUUGUCAUCAUCAUCAUCAUCAUCAUCAUCAUCAUCAUCGUCAUUGCCAUCAUCAACUUUUUGUAAAGGUUUUUACAUUUCCAAGCAAUCACCAUGGCUGCUGGCCUGAAAUAUCUGCUUUCUUGGAUUGAUCUGAUCAUAGCAGUCUGUCACCACACCAAGAGGUGAUUCCCCAUUUAUUCUCAGGGGUUUUCCCUGCUGAGGAAAAAGUCUUGAAGCUAUCUGUAUCCAGCCUGGGAUAUCCUGCACCUAGUUGAUAAGACGAAGACCAUGACGUGAAAAGCUUAACCAUAUUUCAGAAACCAAAAUGGUAACCUGAGAAGAUACAGGACAUCUGGGCAAAAGUUUGAGCUUCAAACCUUCAAUCACCUCUCCAUUUUCCUUCUCAAGAAACUCUCAUGAGGACACAAUGCUUGUAAACUACUCCUGAACUCAGAGGAUUAAAGAUAUUGAAACCAAAA
Ornithorhynchus anatinus (platypus) is the source of this 843-nucleotide long non-coding RNA. RefSeq lists it as uncharacterized. The transcript has 4 exons. Lineage: Eukaryota; Metazoa; Chordata; Mammalia; Monotremata; Ornithorhynchidae. The record is from RefSeq and is a predicted model, not a curated record.